CCUACGGGAGGCUGCAGUGGGGAAUAUUGCACAAUGGGGGAAACCCUGAUGCAGCGACGCCGCGUGAGUGAAGGAGUAUUUCGGUACGUAAAGCUCUAUCAGCAGGGAAGAAAUAAAGUCCUUUGUACUUUGGACGGUACCUGACACAGAAGCCCCGGCUAACUACGUGCCAGCAGCCGCGGUAAUACGUAGGGGGCAAUCGUUAGUCGGCUUUACUGGGUGUAAAGGGCGCGUAGACGGCAGCGCAAGUCUGGAGUGAAAGCCCAUGGCUUAACCAUGGAACUGCUUUGGAAACUGUGCAGCUGGAGUGCAGGAGAGGUAAGCGGAAUUACUGGUGUAGCGGUGAAAUGCGUAGAUAUUAGGAGGAACACCAGUGGCGAAGGCGGCUUACUGGACUGUAACUGACGUUGAGGCUCGAAAGCGUGGGGAGCAAACAGGAUUAGAUACCCCUGUAGUC
This 457-nucleotide ribosomal RNA is filed under the name uncultured bacterium. Its description in RNAcentral is "partial 16S ribosomal RNA". It matches the Rfam family "Bacterial small subunit ribosomal RNA", at positions 338 to 795 of the family's 1533-position model. The record is from RNAcentral.